Molecule: long non-coding RNA, 744 nt
Organism: Aphis gossypii (cotton aphid)
Lineage: Eukaryota; Metazoa; Arthropoda; Insecta; Hemiptera; Aphididae
Exons: 5
Source: RefSeq, a predicted model, not a curated record
AAUUGUUAAUAAAAGCAAUUUUUUUUUAUAAAUGAUCAGUUUUCACCUCUAAUAUUUGCCUCAUCAUCAAAUUCCCCAUCAUAUCCAAUUCUAUCAAAUCACCGUGAUGAAUCAAACAAUUUAGAAAGUUUCAAGAACAUAGGAAAACCAAUGAUUUACUCAAUAAAUUGUUGAUAACCAGAUCAGAAGAUGAUGUUUCGAUACCACAAAAUUUCAACAGAGAACAUUUUACUAUUACUUUUGCUUACUUGCUUACUGUUCCUUUAAAUGACAUUCAACAUUUAGCAAAAUCAUUAAAACUAGCUGCAUCAAGACAUUAAUUAAUUAUUAAACGGCUUAAGCAAUGCGGUUGUUCUACAAUUGAAGAUACUUCUGAUUUAAUGCUUCAAUUAUUGUUUACUGACUUAUGUGGCUCCUUGUAUAAUUGUGAGGGAAAAAUUAAAAUAAAUUUAUUUUUAUGGAUCCAACAAUUCAUGGCAUUAUUAUUGAUACAGCCUUGUUUAAGCAUCUAGAAGAUACAGAACAAAAAGUAGUAAGAAAAAUAAAAAAAAUUGUUUGAGGUUAGCACCAACAAGAAUUAAUAGUAAAAUAGGCCAAAAAUAUCACAAAACAAAAACAUAAUUAUAUAUUAUUAGCUAUUAUUUACUUAAAUUAAAGUAAAAAGACAAAAUAUCAAUUAGAUAUUUAUAUUUUAUACUAAUAUAAAUGUGAUAGAUACUAUUUUAUAACAUUAAUUUUGAAUAC